UACGUAGGGUGCAGGCGUUAAUCGGAAUUACUGGGCGUAAAGCGUGCGCAGGCGGUUUGCUAAGACAGGUGUGAAAUCCCCGGGCUCAACCUGGGAACUGCAUCUGUGACUGCAUCGCUGGAGUACGGUAGAGGGGGAUGGAAUUCCGCGUGUAGCAGUGAAAUGCGUAGAUAUGCGGAGGAACACCGAUGGCGAAGGCAAUCCCCUGGACCUGUACUGACGCUCAUGCACGAAAGCGUGGGGAGCAAACAGG
RNAcentral lists this ribosomal RNA (253 nucleotides) under uncultured bacterium. RNAcentral's name for it is "partial 16S ribosomal RNA". It matches the Rfam family "Bacterial small subunit ribosomal RNA", at positions 524 to 776 of the family's 1533-position model. The record is from RNAcentral.